UGUGAGCACCUAUAAUUCUAGUUCUUACAUC
This 31-nucleotide non-coding RNA is filed under the name Rattus norvegicus (Norway rat). The record is from RNAcentral. Lineage: Eukaryota; Metazoa; Chordata; Mammalia; Rodentia; Muridae.